UUUCUUAAGUCUGAUGUGAAAGCCCCCGGCUCAACCGGGGAGGGUCAUUGGAAACUGGGAAACUUGAGUGCAGAAGAGGAGAGUGGAAUUCCAUGUGUAGCGGUGAAAUGCGUAGAUAUAUGGAGGAACACCAGUGGCGAAGGCGGCUCUCUGGUCUGUAACUGACGCUGAUGCUCGAAAGCGUGGGGAGCAAACAGGAUUAGAUACC
RNAcentral lists this ribosomal RNA (208 nucleotides) under Enterococcus sp. RNAcentral's name for it is "partial 16S ribosomal RNA". It matches the Rfam family "Bacterial small subunit ribosomal RNA", at positions 579 to 786 of the family's 1533-position model. The record is from RNAcentral. Lineage: Bacteria; Bacillati; Bacillota; Bacilli; Lactobacillales; Enterococcaceae.